Molecule: unclassified non-coding RNA, 22 nt
Filed under: Mus musculus (house mouse)
Lineage: Eukaryota; Metazoa; Chordata; Mammalia; Rodentia; Muridae
Description: oocyte_clustered_small_RNA10335
Source: RNAcentral
CGAUCACAACUGCCUUUAGCUC